GUUUUAAAAAUAAUUAAAUUCAGUUAAAUGAACUCAAGAAGGAAAAUUCUUCCAUUUUAAAACACAUUGUUCAACACUUGCAAAGAUAUGAUUAAUUAUUUUUUGUUAGUCUCUUUUCAUUAAAUGGAGAAGCCGAGACAUAACUUUUACCUAUGAACAAAAAUAAUAUAGACAGCAAAGCAUAUUAAUGCAACUUUAUUCUUUAAAAUAGUAAAUAAUACAUCAAAAGUAAAGAGCACAAGAAAUUUAUGAAAAGUGAAUUAAAGAAAAAGAAAAGAAAGGGAGAGAGCUCGAUACCGGCUUUUUGCAUAAUUUUUUCUUUUUCUUUUUUCUUGAAUAGUUAGUUUUGUGAUACUGAUUUUAGGGAUUUAAUUUCUGAAAUUACAAAAGGUGUGUAUUUUGGUGAAAUAUAAUUAUUGUAGUAUGACACAUGAUGAUACCGGAUAUGUAAGAGUUAAUUGAUAAUAAUGGUAGAGUAAAGUGUAAUGGAAUAAGUUUGUGAUGCUUUCAUUUAGAUGUAAGAAUUAUUUUAUGGCUUUAGGUUUUGUUAUUGGUUAAUUCAAUACGUUUAUUUCUCUCUUAUCAUGAAAUGCUUAAAUAAAAAUAAAAUUAUUAUUAAUAUUACACAUUUAUAUUUCUAUUAAAGAUUUUAUUAAAAAAAAUACUUGUAUUCAUGAUAAAAAGAAUUUUCAUAAAGUCAUUCAUGAUGAAACUAUCAAAUCAACACUUGAAACUUUAAGUAAUAAAAUUGGAUAUUCACUCAUUUACUAAAAAUAAUCUUAAAGUAACUCAAUUUCUCUGUAAGAGAAAGAUUAUACUAGAAUAAAAUGGUACAAUAUAAUAUAAUAAGCAAGAGAAAAAAAAAUACCUACUAUCUUUUCACGUUCUCAAAAUCCAAAUAGGAUAAUACAACUAGGUCUCAAAACAACUAAUUAAAACAUGAUAAAAGUGUUCUUCUACCCAAGUUUUUAUAUUGACUUUCAUAUUGAUUUGAAUUCAAUUUCUCAAAAUCAACCUUCAAUUCUAUAUUUUGAUUCUUCUGUUUCUAAGAAUAUUCAAAUAUGAAAUAUCUCUAAGUCUAUAUAAUUUAAAUGAACUGGCGGAAACUAGGCUCAUGCUUAAAUUUCUUGGAGUUGUUCUUAUCUUUGAUAUGUGGUUUGAAUUUACGCCGAGGAACAAUUGAAAAAUAAUAGAAUUUUUUUCUUCCUCAUUUAACGGGGUAAUUAAAAAAAAUCCGAGGUUUUGAUAGAAUAAAAUGGAAUACUGAACAUCCUAUGUUAAAUAAACUGAUUGUUAGGCUUGCUUGUAUGGUUUAACUUUUCUUCUAUCUCUACUUUUCUUCUCUAUCUUUGCUUGUAUGCCUACGAUUUACUGUGUCUUUAAAGAAGAACAAACACAUUUUCUCAAAUAAGGCCUUAGAAUUGUGUUCAUCAUGUGGUCGAGGUAUUGGAUAAGUCCAUGAACAUUACUAGAAACUCUUAGUGAUCUUGGUAGGUGUGAAAAAUUGUUUUUUUAUGUGUUCUUCCUUCAUUCGUAUUUGGUGGUACCUAACCCUUAGAUCCACCUUCAAAACAUCGGUUGCCUCUUGUAGUUCAUCCAAAAGUUAUUCUAUAACAACCUCCAGUUGUCAUCCCUUUUUUCCACCAAAAUGAUUAGUCUGGAGUAGGGGUUGUUACUGGUCCGAUUAUUGUCAUUCCCAACAUCUCGGCCACUUGCUUCUCUAUCUCGUACUUUAAUAGGUACCGAUAGGACCUUACAUUGACUGAUCCAUUCCCUCCUUAAUGGGAAUCUUGUGAUCCAAGUGUCUCUUGAGAGGAAGACGCGUAGGUUUAAUCUCCUGGCCGAGGGUUAAUUGUGUCUCUCCUUUAUUGCCUUCUUCUAGUUCUGCUUGCCCUAAACUUGAUACCAUAGCUUCGAUUUCUGGCUCCUUUAACAACCUCUUUGGUGACACUACCUUUCUUGUUAGUGUAGGAUCUCCUCUGAUAAGAAUUUCCUCAUCUUUCUGGCUAAAUUUCAUGGCUAAGUCUCCCCAAUUGAUCUUGACCUCCUUCAAUGAGGCUAACUAGGCCACUCCCAAAAUAAGAUUCACUCAUCCCAGUUCGAACAAGUAAAACCUUUCCUUGAUUUCUAACCCUUUCAACAACAAGGGAAUGUUGCGACUACAUCCCUUUGCCUAUUCCCCAGGCAAACUUUAUAGGAAGGUGGUUCUUAUACUCUCAAGCCUAGUUCCGCCACCAACUUGGCUGAGAUGAAGUGUGGUUGGCUCCACUAUCUAUUAGGACCAAUAUUUUUUUUGUGCACCUAUCCUUACAAUUUCAUCGUAUCGGUUUGAGUGAAACCUCAUAUUGAGAAGAACAAGAGCUCUAUCUGCUUAUGUUCCAUCUUAUUAAGAAGAACAUGAUCAAGACUCUUUAUGUAUUUUGGGUAAAGAAGAUUCUUAACCCUUCUGUUCCUGUUGUCCCUAUCGCAUUGCUCCUUUUUCAUGGAUGAAGCAAUGAAUAAAAACAACAAAGGUAAGGAAAUAUGCGAAUAAUGGACAAGCAAUAUCUAAGUUUCAUUAAUGUGUAUGAAGUAUACAAACUAAGGCUGACAUCCAAAACAAGUGGUAUAAUCCAAAAGCUUGUUUGACGGUGACCAUCAUGAAUA
This 2646-nucleotide long non-coding RNA is filed under the name Vigna radiata. RNAcentral's name for it is "long non-coding RNA (VRAD_LNC017741)". The record is from RNAcentral. Lineage: Eukaryota; Viridiplantae; Streptophyta; Magnoliopsida; Fabales; Fabaceae.